CCUACGGGAGGCAGCAGUGGGGAAUAUUGCACAAUGGGGGAAACCCUGAUGCAGCGACGCCGCGUGAGUGAAGAAGUACUUCGGUAUGUAAAGCUCUAUCAGCAGGGAAGAAGAAAGACUGUACCUGACUAAGAAGCCCCGGCUAACUACGUGCCAGCAGCCGCGGUAAUACGUAGGGGGCAAGCGUUAUCCGGAUUUACUGGGUGUAAAGGGAGCGUAGACGGGUUGGCAAGUCUGAAGUGAAAGCCCAGGGCUAAACCCUGGAACUGCUUUGGAAACUGGCGGGCUAGAGUGCUGUAGAGGUAAGUGGAAUUCGUAGUGUAGCGGUGAAAUGCGUAGAUAUCAGGAGGAACACCAGUGGCGAAGGCGGCUUACUGGACUGUGACUGACGUUGAGGCUCGAAAGCGUGGGGAGCAAACAGGAUUAGAUACCCGUGUAGUC
RNAcentral lists this ribosomal RNA (441 nucleotides) under uncultured bacterium. RNAcentral describes it as "partial 16S ribosomal RNA". It matches the Rfam family "Bacterial small subunit ribosomal RNA", at positions 338 to 795 of the family's 1533-position model. The record is from RNAcentral.